RNAcentral lists this transfer RNA (76 nucleotides) under Acidobacteriota bacterium. RNAcentral's name for it is "tRNA-Ala". It matches the Rfam family "tRNA". Rfam says of the family: Transfer RNA (tRNA) molecules are approximately 80 nucleotides in length. Their secondary structure includes four short double-helical elements and three loops (D, anti-codon, and T loops). RNAcentral also lists the same sequence under 1 other name. Lineage: Bacteria; Pseudomonadati; Acidobacteriota. The record is from RNAcentral.
GGGCGGGUAGCUCAGCUGGGAGAGCGCUUCCCUCGCACGGAAGAGGCCGUGAGUUCGAAUCUCAUCCCGUCCACCA